GGCUUAAUUUGACUCAACGCGGGAAAACUCACCCGGCCCGGACACCGUAAGGAUUGACAGAUUGAGAGCUCUUUCUUGAUUCGGUGGGUGGUGGUGCAUGGCCGUUCUUAGUUGGUGGAUUGAUUUGUCUGGUUUAUUCCGAUAACGAACGAGACUCCAACCUACUAACUAGUGGGCGAAUCUUUACGUUCGCAACACUUCUUAGAGGGACAAGCGGUGUUUAGCCGCAUGAGAAGGAGCAAUAACAGGUCUGUGAUGCCC
Molecule: ribosomal RNA, 261 nt
Filed under: uncultured eukaryote
Lineage: Eukaryota
Description: partial 18S ribosomal RNA
Rfam family: Eukaryotic small subunit ribosomal RNA
Source: RNAcentral